GUGAGUAGUUCAGAGUUUGAUCCUGGCUCAGGACGAACGCUGGCGGCGUGCCUAACACAUGCAAGUCGAACGGAGUGAAACGCUGAUUUGAUGUUAGCUUGCUAACGGAUUUUCUUGUUUCACUUAGUGGCGGACGGGUGAGUAACGCGUGAGGAACCUGCCCUUCAGAGGGGGACAACAGUUGGAAACGACUGCUAAUACCGCAUGAUGUAUCUCUGGGACAUCCCUAAGAUACCAAAGGAGCAAUCCGCUGAAGGAUGGCCUCGCGUCCGAUUAGAUAGUUGGUGGGGUAACGGCCCACCAAGUCGACGAUCGGUAGCCGGACUGAGAGGUUGAACGGCCACAUUGGGACUGAGACACGGCCCAG
This 367-nucleotide ribosomal RNA is filed under the name uncultured bacterium. Its description in RNAcentral is "bacterial SSU rRNA". It matches the Rfam family "Bacterial small subunit ribosomal RNA", at positions 1 to 334 of the family's 1533-position model. The record is from RNAcentral.